RNAcentral lists this long non-coding RNA (1121 nucleotides) under Lynx pardinus (Iberian lynx). Lineage: Eukaryota; Metazoa; Chordata; Mammalia; Carnivora; Felidae. The record is from RNAcentral.
AACCGGGUGUUGAGGAUGAAAAGCAGCAACUUCUCUUAGAAGGGAGAGAAAGCCAGGCUGAGGUGCUGCAAUCACGAGUAGCAAUACAGAGAGAAAAAGUUACUGAAGGAGCAUUCUUAGAAUUCAAGCUAAUAUAGAAAAUAGUUUUGAAAAUAAAGUUCCAUAUUUAAAUCGGAAAAGUUUUCCUCCAAUAACCAUAUUUUGGUAGUUAAAUACCACACCUUCCCCUCCAUAAAGAAAAAAGAAAAAAAAAAGUAAAAGAAUUCAUUUUCAUUCUGACUCCAUUUGCCUGAAACCAAAGAUUUCUAUACAGAACAUAAAGUAAAAAGCUGAGGUGACAAUUGUCUGAAACAACAACAAAAACCACUAGGUUUCAAUGUGGGUUAAAGUAACAUAAAAUAAAACAUUUUGUUUUACUUAAAUAUUAUAUACUCACUGCUUUCUGCUUCUCAUGUAUUUCAACUGCAUGAUGUUCUCUUUUGCUUCAGGACCAGGGAUUUUGUCAGUACCACAAAUGGCCAAUCUGGAGGAGACCGGGCACAGACGUUAGACCGUCCCACUGGAGCCAGAAUGGACAGAUGGAGAGGCUGUUAGGAAAAGCCUCGAAGCGAACUAAAGGAAGACUGGACUGAUACUGAAGGAAGUUCAGGCAGGCAGGCAGGUGUUAAGCAUUAAAUAGGUCUAAAAGUAGAAACAGGUGGAUAGCCCUACAGGUGAACAGAAUUUCUCAUCCUGUGACUGUUGGCCGGCAACAAGCAGAGGUUCAAUCAAUCAGAUAGAUAACAUCUGGGGAUCCAGGCACUCCUGGUGGAAAUACAACCACAACAACCAAAGAUCAGUAGCAAAACCCAGCUCAAACAUCCCGGUCCAAACCCAGAAGCAAAACUGACUCAAGGCUGAUUUCAUGAGCUCUGCUUCCAGAAAGUCUAAAGUUUCCACCCCUAGGGCAAAUAUUUCCCAGAACUAAAGCUAAGGCUAACAUGCAACAGCACUAAGAGUCUCCAUGAGAGUACAUGAAGCAUCUGAACAGUAUCUAAAAGAUAAUCCCUAAGCAGAAAAUAAUUUCAGGAAAUUUAUAUGUGUGCACAUAUUUGACCAAAUAAGAGUUAAGAAAAAAAAGA